GCUGCUGAAGAAGAAAGUGGAACUCUUGGUGGUUAAUAGUCAGAUGUUUGAAACUGCAAAACUCACGAAACAUCAACAAAUUUUCAAGAGAAAAAACUGAAAUACUAAGGAAAAAAGAAGUUGAGAACACCGGCUCAUGAGAGACUCUGUGAGGUUUUGGAGGUUAUGUUUUAGUCAAACCCAAGUCAAACCAAAACAAACAAAACAUCACGACGGGACGGUGGCCGAAAGCCGAGAGGAAAACGUGAAAUUAUUAGAUUAAUUUAAAGUGUGUCGUAAAUAAAAGUAAUUGUGGAACCUCAAGCUCAAUAAAAAGCUGCAGGUAGUAAAACGAACAAAGUUCUACAGUGAAAUUAUUUUAAGUUUUUCGCAGCUUUCAUAUGAGGCAACAGUCUCAUUGUCACUUGUUCACCUAAGUAAGAACAUACCUGUAUUCGACCUUUGAGUAAUGGCGGAAUGCAAUGACAUUUAUAAUGAAAUCGACAACUUAUAUGCUUCUGUUCAAGACUUACAUCACCAAGAGUCAUUUUCAGAUACCCCAGAUCCACAGCAUCCCCACUUGGUUCCUACUCUGAAACCUUAUCAGUGCAAAGCCGUACGAUGGAUGUUGUCAAGAGAAUCAAACAAAGUAACCAUAGAUGGUAUCUUGUCCUCUGGGUCGACUGAAUUGCCUACCGGCGGUAUCUUAGCAGACGAAAUGGGACUAGGAAAGACUGUGGAGGUCAUUGCUUGUAUGCUUCUGAAUCCUCGGACGAGUUUUGAUGAGGUGAAGUAUCCAUUUGUAAUGACUAAGUAUCUUCAGAAGUAUCUCUAUGUCUACAGUGACAAGCCCAAAGUAUGUCUCAGAUACGCUCAAGAUG
RNAcentral lists this long non-coding RNA (860 nucleotides) under Bemisia tabaci. RNAcentral describes it as "lncRNA ENSSSA2NGG008214". The record is from RNAcentral. Lineage: Eukaryota; Metazoa; Arthropoda; Insecta; Hemiptera; Aleyrodidae.